RNAcentral lists this ribosomal RNA (576 nucleotides) under Xylaria laevis. RNAcentral describes it as "eukaryotic LSU rRNA". The stretch from base 219 to 373 matches the Rfam family "5.8S ribosomal RNA". Lineage: Eukaryota; Fungi; Ascomycota; Sordariomycetes; Xylariales; Xylariaceae. The record is from RNAcentral.
CGUAACAAGGUCUCCGUUGGUGAACCAGCGGAGGGAUCAUUAAAGAGUUCUAUAACUCCCAAACCCAUGUGAACAUACCAUACGUUGCCUCGGCAGGUCGCGCCUACCCCGUAGCGUCCUACCCUAUAGGACCUACCCGGUAGACGCGGGUAAGCCUGCCGGCGGCCCAAGAAACUCUGUUUAGUAUUGAAUUCUGAACCUAUAACUAAAUAAGUUAAAACUUUCAACAACGGAUCUCUUGGUUCUGGCAUCGAUGAAGAACGCAGCGAAAUGCGAUAAGUAAUGUGAAUUGCAGAAUUCAGUGAAUCAUCGAAUCUUUGAACGCACAUUGCGCCCAUUAGUAUUUCUAGUGGGCAUGCCUGUUCGAGCGUCAUUUCAACCCUUAAGCCCUCGUUGCUUAGUGUUGGGAGCCUACGCUACCCGUAGCUCCUCAAAGUUAGUGGCGGAGUCGGUUCACACUCUAGACGUAGUAAUUUUAUCUCGCCUAUCAGUUGGACCGGUCCCCUGCCGUAAAACACCCCAAUUUCUAAAGGUUGACCUCGGAUCAGGUAGGAAUACCCGCUGAACUUAAGCAUA